UUUAGACUUAAGAGCUAUUCAAAUAAGGCACAGCUUAUUUGAAAUAGGACACAACCUACAACAUAGGGUAAACUAGAGUAACCUAAAUAAAGUGGGCCUAAAAGCAGCCACCUUUAGAAAAGCGUUAAAGCUUAACUACCUUCACUCAUAAUGCCUAAAAUCUCCACUAACCCUUCAUUACUACUGAACAAUUUUAUACUCAUAUAAAAGCUAUCAUGCUAGAACUAGUAACAAGAAACUGCUUUUCUCCUAAAUGUAAACAUAAACCAAAAUAGACUCUCUAUUGGUUAUUAACGUAAAUGCUAAACUGUAGCAACACUCACUAGAAAAUCCUAUAAACCCCAACGUUAACCUUACACCAGAACAUUACAGGAAAGAUUAAAAGAAAAAGAAGGAACUCGGCAAAUUUUAGCCUCGCCUGUUUACCAAAAACAUCGCCUCUUGACAAAACAUAAGAGGUCCAGCCUGCCCAGUGACAAAGUUCAACGGCCGCGGUACCCUAACCGUGCAAAGGUAGCACAAUCACUUGUUCUUUAAAUGAGGACUCGUAUCAACGGCACUACGAGGGCUAUACUGUCUCCUUUUUCUAAUCAGUGAAACUGAUCUCCCCGUGAAGAAGCGGGGAUUAUAAUAUAAGACGAGAAGACCCCAUGGAGCUUUAAACUCACCAUGCACCUCUGUGCUCCUAUACCCCUAAACACAACAGACCUGCAUGUUAGUUUUAGGUUGGGGUGACCACGGAGUAUAACUUAACCUCCACAGCAAACGGGCUAAUACCCUUAUCCACGAGACACAACUCUAAGAAUUACUAAACUAAUGCUUACGACCCGAUAUUCGAUCCAUGAACCAAGUUACCCUGGGGAUAACAGCGCAAUCUACUUCAAGAGCCCAUAUCGACAAGUAGGUUUACGACCUCGAUGUUGGAUCAGGGUAUCCCGGUGGUGCAGCCG
This 950-nucleotide ribosomal RNA is filed under the name Rana taihangensis. Its description in RNAcentral is "partial 16S ribosomal RNA". It matches the Rfam family "Bacterial large subunit ribosomal RNA", at positions 970 to 2561 of the family's 2925-position model. The record is from RNAcentral. Lineage: Eukaryota; Metazoa; Chordata; Amphibia; Anura; Ranidae.